RNAcentral lists this transfer RNA (72 nucleotides) under Nitrospirota bacterium. RNAcentral's name for it is "Nitrospirae bacterium (hydrothermal vent metagenome) tRNA-Thr". It matches the Rfam family "tRNA". Rfam says of the family: Transfer RNA (tRNA) molecules are approximately 80 nucleotides in length. Their secondary structure includes four short double-helical elements and three loops (D, anti-codon, and T loops). Lineage: Bacteria; Pseudomonadati; Nitrospirota. The record is from RNAcentral.
GCUGGCGUGACUCAAUGGUAGAGUACCUCACUUGUAAUGAGGCUGUUGGGGGUUCGAUUCCCUCCGCCAGCU